Molecule: ribosomal RNA, 429 nt
Filed under: Actinomycetes bacterium
Lineage: Bacteria; Bacillati; Actinomycetota; Actinomycetes
Description: Actinobacteria bacterium partial 16S ribosomal RNA
Rfam family: Bacterial small subunit ribosomal RNA
Source: RNAcentral
UAGGGAAUCUUCCGCAAUGGGCGAAAGCCUGACGGAGCAACGCCGCGUGAGUGAUGAAGGUCUUCGGAUCGUAAAACUCUGUUAUUAGGGAAGAACAAAUGUGUAAGUAACUAUGCACGUCUUGACGGUACCUAAUCAGAAAGCCACGGCUAACUACGUGCCAGCAGCCGCGGUAAUACGUAGGUGGCAAGCGUUAUCCGGAAUUAUUGGGCGUAAAGCGCGCGUAGGCGGUUUUUUAAGUCUGAUGUGAAAGCCCACGGCUCAACCGUGGAGGGUCAUUGGAAACUGGAAAACUUGAGUGCAGAAGAGGAAAGUGGAAUUCCAUGUGUAGCGUUGAAAUGCGCAGAGAUAUGGAGGAACACCAGUGGCGAAGGCGACUUUCUGGUCUGUAACUGACGCUGAUGUGCGAAAGCGUGGGGAUCAAACAGG